Molecule: long non-coding RNA, 2647 nt
Filed under: Homo sapiens (human)
Lineage: Eukaryota; Metazoa; Chordata; Mammalia; Primates; Hominidae
Description: HSALNT0084203
Source: RNAcentral
GUAGGGAACACCUCCCCCAGCCUCGCACCCCUGCUUUGAAGUUUCUGCUCUGUGCCUCUUAUCUUCUGGUUCCCAAUUCCAGUUCCCUGGAGAUGAAAUUGCCCUUAACAUGGAACAUCACUUCCUGGAUUCUACUGUAUCACCCUGCAGAGGUAUCCAGUUGAUAUCUUUAGCCUCUUUCCAAGAUAUAGCGACUUUGACUGAGUGGUGGCUGUAGGAAGAGAUGAGUCAAUGGUAAGUGUGGGGAUCUCUAUGAAAAGACUUUCUUAAAAGUUUAAGGACAAGUUAGGCACUCCCAGGCUUCCCAGGAGGGGGCAAUGAAAAUAGAAAGCAACUUGUGUGACCCAUCUAUUCCGCCUGAGAAGGAUGGUGCCUUUUAAUUAAACAAAUUACCAAAAAUGCUUAAAGGUUAAAUGGAAGGUGUCUGAGCAAGAUAUGGACCUUAUCAGCAUGGUGCAUGGAGAAGUUCCUCUAUGGCAGCAUGUUGUGUGAACUUAGAUUGCAUAGACGUGGAGAGUAAAGAUUGCUCUAGGGACCUUGGUAAUAGAGAGAGACGAUAAUAAUCUAGCAAGAGAAAUAGAAGGAAAGCAAGAAUUAUCAAAAGUGCAUACAAUAGGAUGGAGAUGGGCGAAAAGAUGACUGAGGCUAGAAUCUGGAGCUGAAUCCCUGAGAAACGUGUGCAUUAUUUAUACACUAAGGAAGUCAGAAAGAAUGUCCGGUUUAAUAGAGAAGAUGAUGAAUUUUAGCUAUUCUCUUUUGAUUUAUUUAUUUGAACUUCAGCACUUAAUAUAUUUAAACAUAUCUGUGUACUUGUAAGCCACAUUUUCCACUUAAAAUAAAAAUAUUUAAAUUAUAUUUUAAUCAGUCAGGCUUAAAAGAGUGAUGAUCAAUAUUUUUAUAAUACUUUUCUUUAUCCUUCAAAAAUAGAUAUCUAUUGUCACUUGAAAUGUAAUGUUUUAACAUGCGUUUUCUUAGUAGAGAGGACCUCCAAGAUGGUGGAACUGCAUUUGUGGAAUCAUCCUAAUGAUUAGUGCUAAUUAGACUUGUGAUUUCACCAUGAUAUCAGAGACCUAAAUGCCCCCGCAGAGUAAAGAAAAUUCUCUUCCACCACUGCACAUUCAUGAAAAUCAUGUCCUAUGAGAGUCAACUAAAGAAGUUACAAAGAAAAUGUCCAGAGCAAAAGAUAAACAUGAUGGACAUAGUAGAGACAUAAAAGCCUGGAUCCACGUGCAGAUCUUCCUUCUCAGAGCUGGGCAAUGUGUGCUCUGAACUUACUCUGUUACCGUUAAGAACCCCGAGCAACGGUGAGAAUACAGAGGAUUCUUCAAACAAGCCAGGAAUUUUUGACCUUGCAGUGAGAAUACAGAGGAUUCUUCAAACAAGGCAGGAAUGCCCAUUCGACUUUCCCCAAUGGCUCUGCAUAAGAGGAACCAACAGAGAUCCUUUCCUGAGACCUAAGGAGGCAAAAGCUAGGUGGCAACCAAAGAUUUCAGAGGAGGAAGCAGGUAAGGUGCAGAGCUGCCAGGUGAUUUCUCCCAUUGACUAUUUGUCUUUUUCCUUUCUUACUACCUUCUUUGUUUGCUUAUUUUAGUAGUUGCUUCAGGAUAUAUAGUAGUAUAUAUCACAGGCACCCUUCAAGUGAUAUAUUGCCCCUUCAUAUAGUACAAAAUCCUCACAACAGUAUACUUCCAUUUCUUUUCUCCUGGCCUUUAGUCCUCACUGUCUUCUGUUUUCAUCCAAAUCUUCUUCCUGACUGUUGACUCUAUUGAACCCAGUGGCCCCAAGUCUGUCACCACAUGCUGGGCUGUGAGAUGUCGGUGCCCUGCAGCCAAAGGCCUCCAAGAGCUCACCUGCACUUAAGUAAGUUGGGUUUCUCAUUUGUCACCGUGAGGGAGUACACACACACCAUGGAGAAUUGCCAGGUGUCCCAGUAAAGGGUGUCAGAAAGAACCUAUUAUAGGAUGUGAGCUUUGCUUGGUGGUUUUGAAAGGAUUUAGUGAAAUAGGGAAUUGGUCUCUGUUGGCUGCAGUCAAGAAGGGAAGGUCAUUCUAUGAUUGGUACCUCAAUAAAUCUUACCUAUGGGAGGGCAUUCUAGAUGCUAAAGCAGUAAUUAAUAAUAAUAAAAAAAGCAGCCACUCAUAUUACCUGAGGAAGAGAGAUUUUUGUAUUUUGCAGCUCGGAUGAUAUGCAUGUUUUGUCUCUAUUUAGGCAUGAUUCUGGAAUGGUCUGUUUGCUAUCUUCGUUGUUGUUGUGUCUUGAUCUAUCAUAGUCACAGAGUGAUCUUGUCUCAUAUUAAUGUUCUGUGAAAUCAUUUAUGUUCAACAGGAAAGCACCGAGGCACAGCCAUGAGUGCCACACCAGCUCAUAAAAACACCAAGAUCUGCCUGAUAAUGCCAGGGCAUGCCUGGGUGUCAGGCGCUGCUCUGCUUUUCUGGGGAAUCGCAGAGUUCUGGUGUGAACUUCUCCACCAGCCCCCGAGCAGCCUAGCCUCAGCAGCAGAUGUGCUUGGCUGCUCAGGUUGACUGAUGGGAAUCUCCUCCUAUGUUCUUGUUUCCCUUUAGACCUUCAUUUCUCCAGCUUCUCCCCUAAUUGUGCCAAUCUGAUUUCUAUAAUGAAUCCCUCAUCCCAUUACUCAUAGUGGUACUGC